This 467-nucleotide ribosomal RNA is filed under the name uncultured bacterium. Its description in RNAcentral is "partial 16S ribosomal RNA". It matches the Rfam family "Bacterial small subunit ribosomal RNA", at positions 28 to 507 of the family's 1533-position model. The record is from RNAcentral.
GAUGAACGCUGACAGAAUGCUUAACACAUGCAAGUCAACUUGAAUUUGGGUUUUUAACUUAGGUUUGGGUGGCGGACGGGUGAGUAACGCGUAAAGAACUUGCCUCACAGCUAGGGACAACAUUUGGAAACGAAUGCUAAUACCUAAUAUUAUGAUAAUAGGGCAUCCUAUAAUUAUGAAAGCUAUAAGCGCUGUGAGAGAGCUUUGCGUCCCUUUAGCUAGUUGGAGAGGUAACGGCUCACCAAGGCGAUGAUGGGUAGCCGGCCUGAGAGGGUGAUCGGCCACAAGGGGACUGAGACACGGCCCUUACUCCUACGGGAGGCAGCAGUGGGGAAUAUUGGACAAUGGACCGAGAGUCUGAUCCAGCAAUUCUGUGUGCACGAUGAAGUUUUUCGGAAUGUAAAGUGCUUUCAGUUGGGAAGAAACAAAUGACGGUACCAACAGAAGAAGUGACGGCUAAAUACGUG